Molecule: ribosomal RNA, 483 nt
Filed under: uncultured bacterium
Lineage: Bacteria
Description: bacterial SSU rRNA
Rfam family: Bacterial small subunit ribosomal RNA
Source: RNAcentral
GACGAACGCUGGCGGCGUGCCUAACACAUGCAAGUCGAGCGGAGUCGAUCGACGGAAGCCUUCGGGCGGAAGAUGGUUGACUUAGCGGCGGAUGGGUGAGUAACGCGUGGGCAACCUGCCUCGAAGACCGGGAUAACAGCUCGAAAGGGCUGCUAAUACCGGAUGUGGUCAAGGAUCCGCAUGGAUUUUUGAUUAAAGGGGAAACCCGUUUCGAGAUGGGCCCGCGUCCUAUCAGCUAGUUGGUGAGGUAAAAGCUCACCAAGGCGACGACGGGUAGCCGGCCUGAGAGGGUGACCGGCCACACUGGAACUGAGACACGGUCCAGACUCUUACGGGGGGCAGCAGUGGGGAAUCUUCCACAAUGGGCGAAAGCCUGAUGGAGCGACGCCGCGUGAGCGAAGAAGGCCUUCGGGUUGUAAAGCUCUGUCUGGAGGGACGAAGGAAGUGACGGUACCUCCGGAGGAAGCCACGGCUAACUACGUG